This 378-nucleotide unclassified non-coding RNA is filed under the name plant metagenome. Its description in RNAcentral is "partial contains 5.8S ribosomal RNA, internal transcribed spacer 2, and large subunit ribosomal RNA". The stretch from base 1 to 105 matches the Rfam family "5.8S ribosomal RNA", at positions 50 to 154 of the family's 154-position model. The record is from RNAcentral.
GAAAUGCGAUAAGUAAUGUGAAUUGCAGAAUUCAGUGAAUCAUCGAAUCUUUGAACGCAGCUUGCGCUCCUUGGUAUUCCUUGGAGCAUGCCUGUUUGAGUAUCAUGAAAUCUUCAAAGUAAAUCUUUUGUUAACUCAAUUGGUUUCUACUUUGGUAUUGGAGGUCUUUGCAGCUUCACACCUGCUCCUCUUUGUUCAUUAGCUGGAUCUCAGUGUUAUGCUUGGUUCCACUCGGCGUGAUAAGUUAUCUAUCGCUGAGGACACUGUAAAUGGUGGCCAAGGUAAAUGCAGAUGAACCGCUUCUAAUAGUCCAUUGACUUGGACAAUACUUUUAUGAUCUGAUCUCAAAUCAGGUAGGACUACCCGCUGAACUUAAGC